GCCCUUGCCCAUUUGAGGGGGAUACCAGUUGGAAACGACUGUUAAUACCGCAUAAUAUCUGUGGAUUAAAGGUGGCUUCCGGGCUGUCGCAGAUGGAUGAGCCUGCGUUGGAUUAGCUAGUUGGUGGGGUAAGGGCCCACCAAGGCUACGAUCCAUAGCUGAUUUGAGAGGAUGAUCAGCCACAUUGGGACUGAGACACGGCCCAAACUCCUACGGGAGGCAGCAGUGGGGAAUAUUGGACAAUGGGGGCAACCCUGAUCCAGCAAUGCCAUGUGUGUGAAGAAGGCCCUAGGGUUGUAAAGCACUUUAGUUGGGGAGGAAAGCCUCAAGGUUAAUAGCCUUGGGGAGGACGUUACCCAAAGAAUAAGCACCGGCUAACUCCGUGCCAGCAGCCGCGGUAAUACGGGGGGUGCAAGCGUUAAUCGGAAUUACUGGGCGUAAAGGGUCUGUAGGUGGUUUGUUAAGUCAGAUGUGAAAGCCCAGGGCUCAACCUUGGAACUGCAUUUGAUACUGGCAAACUAGAGUACGGUAGAGGAAUGGGGAAUUUCUGGUGUAGCGGUGAAAUGCGUAGAGAUCAGAAGGAACACCAAUGGCGAAGGCAACAUUCUGGACCGAUACUGACACUGAGGGACGAAAGCGUGGGGAUCAAACAGGAUUAGAUACCCUGGUAGUCCACGCUGUAAACGAUGAGUACUAGCUGUUGGAGUCGGUGUAAAGGCUCUAGUGGCGCAGCUAACGCGAUAAGUACUCCGCCUGGGGACUACGGCCGCAAGGCUAAAACUCAAAGGAAUUGACGGGGACCCGCACAGGCGGUGGAGCAUGUGGUUUAAUUCGAUGCAACGCGAAGAACCUUACCUGGUCUUGACACCCUGCGAACUUUCUAGAGAUAGAUUGGUGCCUUCGGGAACGCAGUGACAGGUGCUGCACGGCUGUCGUCAGCUCGUGUUGUGAAAUGUUGGGUUAAGUCCCGCAACGAGCGCAACCCCUAUUGAUAGUUACCAUCAUUAAGUUGGGUACUCUAUUGAGACUGCCGCUGACAAGGCGGAGGAAGGUGGGGACGACGUCAAGUCAUCAUGGCCCUUACGACCAGGGCUACACACGUGCUACAAUGGGUAUUACAGAGGGCUGCGAAGGUGCGAGCUGGAGCGAAAC
RNAcentral lists this ribosomal RNA (1152 nucleotides) under uncultured Francisella sp. RNAcentral's name for it is "bacterial SSU rRNA". It matches the Rfam family "Bacterial small subunit ribosomal RNA", at positions 121 to 1273 of the family's 1533-position model. Lineage: Bacteria; Pseudomonadati; Pseudomonadota; Gammaproteobacteria; Thiotrichales; Francisellaceae. The record is from RNAcentral.